UAUUAAUUGGUAUGACCAGAUUCACUUCAGUAUGUUCCAUCUAUGCACAAAUGAUGGAUCCAAUAGUGACUCUAUUCGGAAGUGUUCACGAGAAACAGAACGAAACCGGAAGCAUGAUCUUCCCAAAUUUCGGAAGCAUGUUUCAUGGCGAUCAGCAUAAACCCGAUAACUGGGAUGUAGAGAGUAAUCACGAAAAUGGGAACUUAUCCGUGGACGAAACUAAUGAUAAUGUAAAAACCCCGUUGCUAUCGCUUAAUUCAACUAGUGUAGAUAAAGACAUGAUUGCUCCGGUUUCUAGGAGUAUGUUAAACACAGUUCAGCCUAGCGAGUCGAAUAGUGUGAUAGGGAUUGGUGGUGGGUGGCAGUUGGCGUAUACGAAGACCGAAGACGGGAAGAAAGCGGGCGGGUUGCAGCGGAUUUACUUGCACCAGGAGGGUGGUGCAGAAUCCAGACGCGGGUCCAUUGCUUCACUCCCGGUUGCAGACGACGGUGACGGGGUUCGGGCCUCGGCUCUUGUUAGUAGAUCAGUUCUUUGUUUAGAUAAUACGAUGGGUCAGAACCCGAUUCAGUCGGGUCUGAUCAAGCCGCAACCGUCUACUAAAGAUGUGAGGAGUUGGGCUGAUCUUUCCAAGCUGGUAUUAAACAAGCAUUGAUUGUUGGUGUUGGGAUUCAAAUACUACAACAGUUCACCUAUACGAGUAACGCGAUGCUGGUAUGAAGCAGACGUCAAAGAGUGACGAUAAAAGCAACCUCCUUUGUUUUGGGCGUUGCAUUAAUACAACAGGGAGCUACAACUGUACAUGUUGGCCAGGAUACAUCGGUGAUGCAAAAACACCAGAUGCUUGUCGACCAAUCUCUAAUGGUUCAAAAUUUCCAGUCAUGGUAUUCACAUUAGCUGCGUGGUUCUUUAUUAACAACAUCGGCCAUCGGCCAUGUUAAAACUUAAUUACUUAGUAAAUGGUCCAAUAUAGUUAGUGUUGUGCCUAUAUAUGUAUGUGUGUGACGUGACUUACGCCUAGCAGUAUCUAAAUGGAAAGAUUUUUAGUUUUUCA
Helianthus annuus (common sunflower) is the source of this 1052-nucleotide RNA transcript. It is a transcript of the gene named monosaccharide-sensing protein 1-like, with no coding region annotated. The record is from RefSeq and is a predicted model, not a curated record. The transcript has 4 exons. NCBI's taxonomy places the organism in Eukaryota, Viridiplantae, Streptophyta, Magnoliopsida, Asterales, Asteraceae.